Long non-coding RNA from Selaginella moellendorffii, 458 nucleotides. RefSeq lists it as uncharacterized. The transcript is spliced from 2 exons. Lineage: Eukaryota; Viridiplantae; Streptophyta; Lycopodiopsida; Selaginellales; Selaginellaceae. The record is from RefSeq and is a predicted model, not a curated record.
GCAAGACAAGUAGUCGCGAGAGGUGGAUGGACACCACACUAAAGGCGAGAAGAGGUAGCUUGCCUCUGGCUCCUACCAAAAGGGUGGCUUGGCCCUGUGAUCGUCGAGAGAAGGAUGAGAUCUUGGAAUUAUAUAAGCUGCCAGAGAAUGCUGCAAGGUGCUUUCAACUCUCUUUUUGUUCUCUCUCUCUUUUGGUUGGCUCUUCCAGUUUUUGUUUUUGUAUUUGAUUUUUCGGUUUUGCUCCAGGCCAGCUAUGGAUGGUUGGAGAAUCGAGCACGAAAGCCUGUGAUAAUGUUGUGCUGGGCUAGUGACAAAGCACAUGUUGGGGCGUACAGUGGUGAAAAUGAUUUCUCUCUUGUAUGUUUACUAUCUUUUGCUUGAGGUGCUUGCUUGCUCGCGCUGCUUGCUUGCGUUGAAUGAUCUGGAAGACAAAAAUAUAAAGACUUUUCUAUCGAACU